GAUCCUGGCUCAGAACGAACGUUAGCGGCGGGCCUAACACAUGCAAGUCGAACGCGAAAGGUCUUCGGACUGAGUAGAGUGGCGCACGGGUGAGUGACACGUAGGUAAUCUACCCUUUGGCGGGGGAUAACGUUCCGAAAGGAGCGCUAAUACCGCAUAAGACCACGGAGUCUCCGGACGCUGUGGGAAAAGGUGGCCUCUUCUUGAAAGCUACCACCGAAGGAUGAGCCUGCGUCCCAUCAGCUAGUUGGUAAGGUAAUGGCUUACCAAGGCGAAGACGGGUAGCUGGUUUGAGAGAAUGAUCAGCCACACUGGCACUGGAACACGGGCCAGACUCCUACGGGAGGCAGCAGUGAGGAAUAUUGGGCAAUGGGCGAAAGCCUGACCCAGCCACGCCGCGUGAGUGAUGAAGGCCCUCGGGUCGUAAAGCUCUGUGGAGAGGGACGAAAACCCUGGUUUCAAAUAGGCUCCAGGCUUGACGGUACCUCUUUAGCAAGCACCGGCUAACUCUGUG
RNAcentral lists this ribosomal RNA (514 nucleotides) under uncultured bacterium. Its description in RNAcentral is "bacterial SSU rRNA". It matches the Rfam family "Bacterial small subunit ribosomal RNA", at positions 15 to 507 of the family's 1533-position model. The record is from RNAcentral.